This is a long non-coding RNA of Xenia sp. Carnegie-2017, 369 nucleotides long. RefSeq lists it as uncharacterized. The record is from RefSeq and is a predicted model, not a curated record. The transcript has 2 exons. Lineage: Eukaryota; Metazoa; Cnidaria; Anthozoa; Malacalcyonacea; Xeniidae.
UAAGUCUAACUUUGAGUAUCUUUCCUUCACAAGGUUAUCCUGUUCUAUGAAAUAAAUUAGAGUUCAAACGACCAGACAGGGCAGCUAACAAAGACUCCUGGAAUAAGUUUUUUAUGGCUACAAAGGUAUCGCACAAUCCUGAGUGCCAAGAUGUGUUGCGCUUUCUCGGUCAGUACUGUGGUGUACCACAAAAUCUUUCUUUCUCAUUUGGAUAAAAAUUGUAUUGUUUGCUGUGAAAAUUCCCUCGUGAUCUCAGAGUGGAUUAUUUAUUUGUAUAAAGUACAAAAACAUCACUUAUCUAGUUCGUAUAUAUGACUUCUGAUAAUGGCAUUGUCGAUAUCAUAAAAUUUUUAAAUUACGUCCUUGAGU